UGAAAUCCAAUAAUGCUUAGAGCUUAAGGAAACUGCUUGUUGUCAUCGACAUUGAAAGCUUUGUCCGCGUUCCAUUUGGCUUUAUAUGCAUAGCGGAGCAGGUAAGUGAUAAUUCAUAAGGUUUUGUUGCAAGAAUUUUAAAGGGUAUACGGAUAUUGAAGAUCUGAAUCAAGUCUAUAAUGGAUUCUUUCUUCAGCAAAGGUUUCAAAGCUGCCAAAUGUAAAACCAUGUUGAAAUUGACAAUUCCUCGGAUCAAACUACUGAGGAAUCGUAGGGAGUUUCAGCUGAAGCAGAUGAGGAAAGAAAUAGCUAAGCUUCUAGAGACUGGUCAGGAAGCUACUGCCCGAAUUCGGGUAGAGCAUAUUAUAAGAGAAGAGAAAAUGAUGGCAGCGCAGGAGAUUGUUGAGCUAUUCUGUGAGCUUAUAUCGGUUCGUCUUCCAAUUAUUGAAGCACAAAGGGAAUGCCCUCUAGAUCUGAAAGAAGCUAUUUCAAGUGUUUGUUUUGCUGCACCAAGAUGUGCAGAUCUUCCGGAACUGCUGCAGGUUCAGCUGAUGUUUGCUGGUAAAUAUGGGAAGGAAUUCAUUACUGCUGCUACAGAGCUCAUGCCAGAAUGCGGAGUCAAUCGCCAGUUGAUAGAGUUGCUGUCUAUUCGAGCUCCUGCUCCUGAUGUGAAAAUGAAGCUGCUAAAGGAAAUUGCGGAGGAGCAUCAGCUAGAUUGGGAUCCAAGUGCUUCUGAAACUGAGCUGUUGAAGUCACAUGAGGACUUGCUGAAUGGGCCCACACAAUUUGUCAGUGGAGCUAAGGUGCCACUUCCCAAAGAAAGGUUUGAUGAGGUGCAGCACUCUGCAUCAGAUCAAGUCUUCGAUAAACAAACGGAAUCUGAGGCUGAUUUUGACUUAGAUUUUCCAGAAGUCCCUAAGCAGCCACUACGACCUAGCACUGGUGGAGUUUCAGCCCCUGAAAUGCUGCCUUUCCCAGCAUCUGCACUAUCUGACUCCGAUGAGGAGGUAGGCAAGCCUUCUGAAGACGGUGAGCUCAAAUCUCACAAACAAGAUGUGGAGCGAGAUGAACUUUUGCAAGAGAAGGUAGUUUCAAAAGAUUUUGGAUCAGCUGAUAGUUUAUCUGCACCGGAAGAAGAGAAACAGUUUUUGCCAUUCAUGGUUCCCCCGCCAAAAUCAUCUCCACUCCCCUCUACAGAAAGUACCACAAUCCAAAGUACUCAGCCUCCCUCUGCUACAAAGACCAAAGUUGAGACUGAUGUGGAUUUGCAAGAUGUAUUGGCUGCUGCCCAAGCAGCUGCUGAUUCAGCCGAACGUGCAGCAGCUGCUGCUCGCUCAGCAGCUAGCCUUGCUCAGGUUAGAAUCAGUGAGCUUACCAGGAAAAGGAGUGAAGAGGUGCCUGUAAGUCCCAGUGAAAACCCCUUUUAUUCUGAGAAACAAGAAUCUCACAUCCUAGAAAAGCCUAACUUAGACCUCCAACACCAAUCAUCAAACUCCGAUGGUAUCCCCAGCCCACUUCAUGGCAGUCCAUUGGAACAUCAGGUGUCGAAUAUUCCUUCAUAUGAUGAUUCAACAGUAGGUGUUGAGUCUCCCAUCUCCCAUAUUCAUCAUCCUGGUCAGGGUCUUCACCAACCACAGAGAUUGCCUUCCAUGGACGAUGAGACAUAUUAUUCUUA
This 1675-nucleotide unclassified non-coding RNA is filed under the name Hevea brasiliensis (rubber tree). The record is from RNAcentral. Lineage: Eukaryota; Viridiplantae; Streptophyta; Magnoliopsida; Malpighiales; Euphorbiaceae.